ACGCACGCUGGCGGCGUGCCUCAUACAUGCAAGUUGAGCGCUGAAGGUUGGUACUUGUACCAACUGGAUGAGCAGCGAACGGGUGAGUACCGCGUGGGGAAUCUGCCUUUGAGCGGGGGACAACAUUUGGAAACGAAUGCUAAUACCGCAUAAAAACUUUAAACACAAGUUUUAAGUUUGAAAGAUGCAAUUGCAUCACUCAAAGAUGAUCCCGCGUUGUAUUAGCUAGUUGGUGAGGUAAAGGCUCACCAAGGCGAUGAUACAUAGCCGACCUGAGAGGGUGAUCGGCCACAUUGGGACUGAGACACGGCCCAAACUCCUACGGGAGGCAGCAGUAGGGAAUCUUCGGCAAUGGACGAAAGUCUGACCGAGCAACGCCGCGUGAGUGAAGAAGGGUUUCGGAUCGUAAAACUCUGUUGGUAGAGAAGAACGUUGGUGAGAGUGGAAAGCUCAUCAAGUGACGGUAACUACCCAGAAAGGGACGGCUAACUACGUG
This 496-nucleotide ribosomal RNA is filed under the name uncultured bacterium. Its description in RNAcentral is "partial 16S ribosomal RNA". It matches the Rfam family "Bacterial small subunit ribosomal RNA", at positions 29 to 507 of the family's 1533-position model. The record is from RNAcentral.